RNAcentral lists this ribosomal RNA (886 nucleotides) under Alternaria alternata. RNAcentral's name for it is "partial large subunit ribosomal RNA". It matches the Rfam family "Eukaryotic large subunit ribosomal RNA", at positions 34 to 939 of the family's 3401-position model. The record is from RNAcentral. Lineage: Eukaryota; Fungi; Ascomycota; Dothideomycetes; Pleosporales; Pleosporaceae.
CUAGCAUAUCAAUAAGCGGAGGAAAAGAAACCAACAGGGAUUGCCCUAGUAACGGCGAGUGAAGCGGCAACAGCUCAAAUUUGAAAUCUGGCUCUUUUAGAGUCCGAGUUGUAAUUUGCAGAGGGCGCUUUGGCUUUGGCAGCGGUCCAAGUUCCUUGGAACAGGACGUCACAGAGGGUGAGAAUCCCGUACGUGGUCGCUGGCUAUUGCCGUGUAAAGCCCCUUCGACGAGUCGAGUUGUUUGGGAAUGCAGCUCUAAAUGGGAGGUACAUUUCUUCUAAAGCUAAAUAUUGGCCAGAGACCGAUAGCGCACAAGUAGAGUGAUCGAAAGAUGAAAAGCACUUUGGAAAGAGAGUCAAACAGCACGUGAAAUUGUUGAAAGGGAAGCGCUUGCAGCCAGACUUGCUUACAGUUGCUCAUCCGGGUUUUUACCCGGUGCACUCUUCUGUAGGCAGGCCAGCAUCAGUUUGGGCGGUAGGAUAAAGGUCUCUGUCACGUACCUCCUUUCGGGGAGGCCUUAUAGGGGAGACGACAUACUACCAGCCUGGACUGAGGUCCGCGCAUCUGCUAGGAUGCUGGCGUAAUGGCUGUAAGCGGCCCGUCUUGAAACACGGACCAAGGAGUCUAACAUCUAUGCGAGUGUUUGGGUGUCAAGCCCGAGCGCGUAAUGAAAGUGAACGGAGGUGGGAACCCGCAAGGGUGCACCAUCGACCGAUCCUGAUGUCUUCGGAAGGAUUUGAGUAAGAGCAUGGCUGUUGGGACCCGAAAGAUGGUGAACUAUGCUUGAAUAGGGUGAAGCCAGAGGAAACUCUGGUGGAGGCUCGCAGCGGUUCUGACGUGCAAAUCGAUCGUCAAAUUUGGGCAUAGGGGCGAAAGACUAAUCGAA